UGGGGAAUUUUGGACAAUGGGCGAAAGCCUGAUCCAGCAAUGCCGCGUGUGUGAAGAAGGCCUUCGGGUUGUAAAGCACUUUUGUCCGGAAAGAAAUCCUCUGGGUUAAUACCUCGGGGGGAUGACGGUACCGGAAGAAUAAGCACCGGCUAACUACGUGCCAGCAGCCGCGGUAAUACGUAGGGUGCAAGCGUUAAUCGGAAUUACUGGGCGUAAAGCGUGCGCAGGCGGUUUUGUAAGACGGAUGUGAAAUCCCCGGGCUUAACCUGGGAACUGCAUUCGUGACUGCAAGGCUAGAGUAUGGCAGAGGGGGGUAGAAUUCCACGUGUAGCAGUGAAAUGCGUAGAGAUGUGGAGGAAUGCCGAUGGCGAAGGCAGCCCCCUGGGCCAAUACUGACGCUCAUGCACGAAAGCGUGGGGAGCAAACAGGAUUAGAUACCCUGGUAGUCCACGCCCUAAACGAUGUCAACUAGUUGUUGGGGAUUCAUUUCCUUAGUAACGUAGCUAACGCGUGAAGUUGACCGCCUGGGGAGUACGGUCG
This 540-nucleotide ribosomal RNA is filed under the name uncultured bacterium. RNAcentral describes it as "partial 16S ribosomal RNA". It matches the Rfam family "Bacterial small subunit ribosomal RNA", at positions 355 to 888 of the family's 1533-position model. The record is from RNAcentral.